RNAcentral lists this ribosomal RNA (253 nucleotides) under uncultured archaeon. RNAcentral's name for it is "partial 16S ribosomal RNA". It matches the Rfam family "Archaeal small subunit ribosomal RNA", at positions 474 to 726 of the family's 1478-position model. The record is from RNAcentral.
UCCCGGCGGUCCAAGUCGCAGCCACAAUUAUUGGGUCUAAAACAUUCGUAGCUUGUUUUGUUAGUCUCUUGUGAAAUCUGAAAUCUUAAAUUUCAGGCGUGCAAGAGAUACUGCAAAACUUGGGACUGGAAGAAGCAAAGAGUACAAUCGAGGUAGCGGUAAAAUGUGUUAAUCUCGAUUGGACUAACAACAGCGAAGGCACUUUGCUAGUACAGAUCUGACAGUGAGGAAUGAAGGCUAGGGUCGCGAAACG